Arvicola amphibius (Eurasian water vole) is the source of this 457-nucleotide long non-coding RNA. RefSeq lists it as uncharacterized. The transcript has 4 exons. Lineage: Eukaryota; Metazoa; Chordata; Mammalia; Rodentia; Cricetidae. The record is from RefSeq and is a predicted model, not a curated record.
UGUGACCUGCCUGCUCACAACAUAAAGCUCAGCUUUCCCUGAUCGCUAUAGUUCGGUUCGGCACCUAUAUCCCAUCCAAGGCAAAGGCACAACUUUGAUGACAGGCUUGGAACCUCUUUUUCAAAGAAGAGGAAGACAAUGAACUCCGGAGUGCUGUUUAAUGUCUUAGUCCCCGUGUCUCUUAUUUCAAAGCCCUCCACUGAGAAGGGGGAUGGGACCGAUGCUCGAAUGUAAACCUCUAGGCAGUGCUGAACACACGCUGGAAAACUGGUGUUGUUAUGAAAGGUGCAAUAAGCAUCAAAAGUGAAAAUGAAACUGGCCUACAUCCAGCUUAAUGACGACUCCUUCCAUCAAUACUGCCAGAACACCAGAGUUUUUCUACAAGCAUCUUGACAUCAAGAAGAAAGCAGGACAUAGAAAUCCACUCUCUUGUCCUUGGAGCACACGUUGACCUGAC